UCCCGGAUGUUAUCGGCGGACGGGUGAGUAACACGUGGGUAACCUGCCUGUAAGACUGGGAUAACUCCGGGAAACCGGAGCUAAUACCGGAUAGUUCCUUGAACCGCAUGGUUCAAGGAUGAAAGACGGUUUCGGCUGUCACUUACAGAUGGACCCGCGGCGCAUUAGCUAGUUGGUGAGGUAACGGCUCACCAAGGCGACGAUGCGUAGCCAACCUGAGAGGGUGAUCGGCCACACUGGGACUGAGACACGGCCCAGACUCCUACGGGAGGCAGCAGUAGGGAAUCUUCCGCAAUGGACGAAAGUCUGACGGAGCAACGCCGCGUGAGUGAUGAAGGUUUUCGGAUCGUAAAGCUCUGUUGUUAGGGAAGAACAAGUGCAAGAGUAACUGCUUGCACCUUGACGGUACCUAACCAGAAAGCCACGGCUAACUACGUGCCAGCAGCCGCGGUAAUACGUAGGUGGCAAGCGUUGUCCGGAAUUAUUGGGCGUAAAGGGCUCGCAGGCGGUUUCUUAAGUCUGAUGUGAAAGCCCCCGGCUCAACCGGGGAGGGUCAUUGGAAACUGGGAAACUUGAGUGCAGAAGAGGAGAGUGGAAUUCCACGUGUAGCGGUGAAAUGCGUAGAGAUGUGGAGGAACACCAGUGGCGAAGGCGACUCUCUGGUCUGUAACUGACGCUGAGGAGCGAAAGCGUGGGGAGCGAACAGGAUUAGAUACCCUGGUAGUCCACGCCGUAAACGAUGAGUGCUAAGUGUUUAGGGGGGUUUCCGCCCCUUAGUGCUGCAGCUAACGCAUUAAGCACUCCGCCUGGGGGAGUACGGUCGCAAGACUGAAACUCAAAGGAAUUGACGGGGGCCCGCACAAGCGGUGGAAGCAUGUGGGUUUAAUUCGAAGCAACGCGAAGAACCUUUACCAGGUCUUGACAUCCUCUGACAACCCUAGAAGAUAGGGCUUUUCCCUUCGGGGGACAGAGUGGACAGGUGGGUGGCAUGGGUUGU
This 997-nucleotide ribosomal RNA is filed under the name Bacillus aerius. Its description in RNAcentral is "bacterial SSU rRNA". It matches the Rfam family "Bacterial small subunit ribosomal RNA", at positions 83 to 1055 of the family's 1533-position model. The record is from RNAcentral. Lineage: Bacteria; Bacillati; Bacillota; Bacilli; Caryophanales; Bacillaceae.